This 323-nucleotide ribosomal RNA is filed under the name uncultured eukaryote. Its description in RNAcentral is "partial 18S ribosomal RNA". It matches the Rfam family "Eukaryotic small subunit ribosomal RNA", at positions 1470 to 1796 of the family's 1831-position model. The record is from RNAcentral.
CCCUUAGAUGUUCUGGGCCGCACGCGUGCUACACUGAACGGUUCAAUGGGUAAGGUAGUUCGAAAGCAUGACCUAAUCUCGAAAUCCGUUCGUGCUGGGGAUAGAAGCUUGCAAUUAUCCUUCUUGAACGAGGAAUACCUUGUAAGCGUGAGUCAUCAUCUCACGCUGAAUACGUCCCUGCCCUUUGUACACACCGCCCGUCGCUCCUACCGAUUGAGUGUUCCGGUGAGGCUUUGGGAGAAUGGCCUCAACAUGAGUUUAUCGUGUUUUGCCGUUUGAACUUAGUCAAACCUUAUCACUUAGAGGAAGGAGAAGUCGUAACA